RNAcentral lists this ribosomal RNA (776 nucleotides) under uncultured bacterium. RNAcentral's name for it is "bacterial SSU rRNA". It matches the Rfam family "Bacterial small subunit ribosomal RNA", at positions 91 to 851 of the family's 1533-position model. The record is from RNAcentral.
GCGAGCGGCGGAUGGGUGAGUAACACGUGGGGAACCUGCCCCUAAGUCUGGGAUACCAUUUGGAAACAGGUGCUAAUACCGGAUAAUAAAGCAGAUCGCAUGAUCAGCUUUUGAAAGGCGGCGUAAGCUGUCGCUAAGGGAUGGCCCCGCGGUGCAUUAGCUAGUUGGUAAGGUAACGGCUUACCAAGGCGACGAUGCAUAGCCGAGUUGAGAGACUGAUCGGCCACAUUGGGACUGAGACACGGCCCAAACUCCUACGGGAGGCAGCAGUAGGGAAUCUUCCACAAUGGACGCAAGUCUGAUGGAGCAACGCCGCGUGAGUGAAGAAGGUUUUCGGAUCGUAAAGCUCUGUUGUUGGUGAAGAAGGAUAGAGGUAGUAACUGGCCUUUAUUUGACGGUAAUCAACCAGAAAGUCACGGCUAACUACGUGCCAGCAGCCGCGGUAAUACGUAGGUGGCAAGCGUUGUCCGGAUUUAUUGGGCGUAAAGCGAGCGCAGGCGGAAAAAUAAGUCUAAUGUGAAAGCCCUCGGCUUAACCGAGGAACUGCAUCGGAAACUGUUUUUCUUGAGUGCAGAAGAGGAGAGUGGAACUCCAUGUGUAGCGGUGGAAUGCGUAGAUAUAUGGAAGAACACCAGUGGCGAAGGCGGCUCUCUGGUCUGCAACUGACGCUGAGGCUCGAAAGCAUGGGUAGCGAACAGGAUUAGAUACCCUGGUAGUCCAUGCCGUAAACGAUGAGUGCUAAAGUGUUGGGAGGUUUCCCCCUCUCAGUGCUGCAG